This 83-nucleotide transfer RNA is filed under the name Pseudomonadota bacterium. Its description in RNAcentral is "tRNA-Tyr". It matches the Rfam family "tRNA". Rfam says of the family: Transfer RNA (tRNA) molecules are approximately 80 nucleotides in length. Their secondary structure includes four short double-helical elements and three loops (D, anti-codon, and T loops). Further hydrogen bonds mediate the characteristic L-shaped molecular structure. tRNAs have two regions of fundamental functional importance: the anti-codon, which is responsible for specific mRNA codon recognition, and the 3' end, to which the tRNAs corresponding amino acid is attached (by aminoacyl-tRNA synthetases). tRNAs cope with the degeneracy of the genetic code in two manners: having more than one tRNA (with a specific anti-codon) for a particular amino acid; and 'wobble' base-pairing, i.e. permitting non-standard base-pairing at the 3rd anti-codon position. The record is from RNAcentral. Lineage: Bacteria; Pseudomonadati; Pseudomonadota. RNAcentral also lists the same sequence under 2 other names.
GGAGGGGUAGCCAAGCGGCCAAAGGCGGCAGACUGUAAAUCUGCUGGCAGUGUCCUUCGGGGGUUCGAAUCCCUCCCCCUCCA